GAACGCUGAAGGAAGGAGCUUGCUCUUUCUGGAUGAGUUGCGAACGGGUGAGUAACGCGUAGGUAACCUGCCUGGUAGCGGGGGAUAACUAUUGGAAACGAUAGCUAAUACCGCAUAACAGUAGAUGUUGCAUGAUAUCUGCUUGAAAGGGGCAAUUGCUCCACUACCAGAUGGACCUGCGUUGUAUUAGCUAGUUGGUGAGGUAACGGCUCACCAAGGCGACGAUACAUAGCCGACCUGAGAGGGUGAUCGGCCACACUGGGACUGAGACACGGCCCAGACUCCUACGGGAGGCAGCAGUAGGGAAUCUUCGGCAAUGGACGGAAGUCUGACCGAGCAACGCCGCGUGAGUGAAGAAGGUUUUCGGAUCGUAAAGCUCUGUUGUAAGAGAAGAACGAGUGUGAGAGUGGAAAGUUCACACUGUGACGGUAUCUUACCAGAAAGGGACGGCUAACUACGUGCCAGCAGCCGCGGUAAUACGUAGGUCCCGAGCGUUAUCCGGAUUUAUUGGGCGUAAAGCGAGCGCAGGCGGUUAGAUAAGUCUGAAGUUAAAGGCUGUGGCUUAACCAUAGUACGCUUUGGAAACUGUUUAACUUGAGUGCAAGAGGGGAGAGUGGAAUUCCAUGUGUAGCGGUGAAAUGCGUAGAUGUACGGA
RNAcentral lists this ribosomal RNA (655 nucleotides) under uncultured Bacilli bacterium. Its description in RNAcentral is "bacterial SSU rRNA". It matches the Rfam family "Bacterial small subunit ribosomal RNA", at positions 64 to 702 of the family's 1533-position model. The record is from RNAcentral. Lineage: Bacteria; Bacillati; Bacillota; Bacilli.